RNAcentral lists this ribosomal RNA (301 nucleotides) under uncultured bacterium. RNAcentral describes it as "partial 16S ribosomal RNA". It matches the Rfam family "Bacterial small subunit ribosomal RNA", at positions 509 to 808 of the family's 1533-position model. The record is from RNAcentral.
CAGUCGCCGGCGGUAAUACAGAGGGUGCAAGCGUUAAUCGGAAUUACUGGGCGUAAAGCGCGCGUAGGUGGUUUGUUAAGUUGGAUGUGAAAUCCCCGGGCUCAACCUGGGAACUGCAUCCAAAACUGGCAAGCUAGAGUAUGGUAGAGGGUGGUGGAAUUUCCUGUGUAGCGGUGAAAUGCGUAGAUAUAGGAAGGAACACCAGUGGCGAAGGCGACCACCUGGACUGAUACUGACACUGAGGUGCGAAAGCGUGGGGAGCAAACAGGAUUAGAUACCCGGGUAGUCCCUGUCUCUUAUA